CUACGCGCUGCUCCAGUGAGGAAUAUUGCACAAUGGGGGAAACCCUGAUGCAGCAACGCCGCGUGGAGGAUGACGCAUUUCGGUGUGUAAACUCCUUUUAUGAGUCAAGAAAAUGACGGUAGCUCAUGAAUAAGCACCGGCUAACUCCGUGCCAGCAGCCGCGGUAAUACGGAGGGUGCAAGCGUUACUCGGAAUCACUGGGCGUAAAGGACGCGUAGGCGGGAUGUCAAGUCAGGUGUGAAAUCCUAUGGCUCAACCAUAGAACUGCACUUGAAACUGGCAACCUAGAGUAUGGGAGGGGGAGAUGGAAUUAGUGGUGUAGGGGUAAAAUCCGUAGAUAUCACUAGGAAUACCGAAAGCGAAGGCGAUCUCCUGGAACAUUACUGACGCUAAGGCGUGAAAGCGUGGGGAGCAAACAGGAUUAGAUACCCGAGUAGUC
Molecule: ribosomal RNA, 439 nt
Filed under: uncultured bacterium
Lineage: Bacteria
Description: partial 16S ribosomal RNA
Rfam family: Bacterial small subunit ribosomal RNA
Source: RNAcentral